Molecule: non-coding RNA, 188 nt
Filed under: bovine gut metagenome
Description: Lysine riboswitch
Rfam family: Lysine riboswitch aptamer
About the family: Riboswitches are metabolite binding domains within certain messenger RNAs that serve as precision sensors for their corresponding targets. Allosteric rearrangement of mRNA structure is mediated by ligand binding, and this results in modulation of gene expression. This family includes riboswitches that sense lysine in a number of genes involved in lysine metabolism, including lysC.
Source: RNAcentral
UUGGUAGAGGUGCAUUUUGUAAAAAGUAAGUUUUUGCCCUAAGGGUUUCCUUAAAGCUCGUUUCGCCGAGCGUGGCUUAAACCGAAAGGUGCAGGUGCCGAAGGAGGUUAACGCGAAAGUAACUUUCCUGGCAAAAUGAAAUAAGAUUCAUUUUGCUGUCGCGGCGGUAUGCCGCGGAGCGCUAUCGU